CUCUUGAAACACGGACCAAGGAGUCUAACGUGUGCACGAGUCACUGGGUGGUAAACCUAGAGGCGCAAUGAAAGUAAAGGCUAGCUUGCUGGCUGAUACACGACCCUGCGGUCCGCCGUGGGGGCAGUGUAGCCCCGUCUCAACUGCUUGUCAGUGGGGCGGAGGUAGAGCGUACACGUUGGGACCCGAAAGAUGGUGAACUAUGCCUGAGCAGGACGAAGCCAGAGGAAACUCUGGUGGAGGUCCGAAGCGGUUCUGACGUGCAAAUCGAUCGUCAGACUUGGGUAUAGGGGCGAAAGACUAAUCGAACAUCUAGUAGCUGGUUC
Molecule: ribosomal RNA, 326 nt
Filed under: Setosabatieria sp. MKL1
Lineage: Eukaryota; Metazoa; Nematoda; Chromadorea; Araeolaimida; Comesomatidae
Description: eukaryotic LSU rRNA
Rfam family: Eukaryotic large subunit ribosomal RNA
Source: RNAcentral